UACGUAGGGUGCGAGCGUUGUCCGGAAUUAUUGGGCGUAAAGGGCUCGUAGGCGGUUUGUCGCGUCGGGAGUGAAAUCCUUGGGCUUAACUCAGGGCUUGCUUCUGAUACGGGCAGACUGGAGGUAUGCAGGGGAGAACGGAAUUCCUGGUGUAGCGGUGAAAUGCGCAGAUAUCAGGAGGAACACCGGUGGCGAAGGCGGUUCUCUGGGCAUGGCCUGACGCUGAGGAGCGAAAGUGUGGGGAGCGAACAGGAUUAGAAACCCCCGUAGUCC
This 273-nucleotide ribosomal RNA is filed under the name uncultured bacterium. RNAcentral describes it as "partial 16S ribosomal RNA". It matches the Rfam family "Bacterial small subunit ribosomal RNA", at positions 524 to 796 of the family's 1533-position model. The record is from RNAcentral.